CGCGCAUGCGCUAGGGAAGACUGCGUUGCUAGCAGCUGAGUGAAGGCCGAAAGGGCCAAUGGAAACGUUAGACGACGCUCGGGCCUCUGGGUAGAGCGUUGGUGUCCGCUUUCGUGAAAUCGAGUUGCCUACCCCAGAGCUUUCCCGCGAUGGUCUUCGUCACAGGUGUCUGGGAGGCGGCUUAAGCUCACUUCACUAGGUCAUUAAGCAUGUACUUUGGUGGUUACAUAUAUCUUAGAAGUCACCGGCUUUACAUUCUGUUUUCCUGGCCUUCGAACUGGAGCAUCAGUACUACCGCCGUUGGAAUAGCAACCUGGAGACUUUGCUAUUUUGUGAAGAAACUCCAACUAUCCCCAUGGGCACAGAAUUUUGGGUGCUCUGGUGCAAAUGUCUCAGUUCUGGAGGCUGGGAAGUCAAAGACAAGGCACUGGCAGAUUCCAUGACUGGAAAGGAGAGAAGGUCUCUGAGGAAGUGACAUUCCAGCUGAGACGUGAAGGAUAAGUAGAAACCAAGCAGAAGAAUUGGAAGAGGAAAGGGAAGAGGGAAAAGCCUGUGCCAAUGCCCUGAGAUUGGAAUAUGCUUUUUGUGUUUAAGAAAUUAACAGAAGGAGAAGCACAUCUCUGGCUGCCCUCAGUACACUAAGAGAAUCAGACCUCAGAGGUGGCUGCAUUUUAUUGUUGGGAGUAAG
Long non-coding RNA from Pan troglodytes (chimpanzee), 688 nucleotides. RefSeq lists it as uncharacterized. The record is from RefSeq and is a predicted model, not a curated record. NCBI's taxonomy places the organism in Eukaryota, Metazoa, Chordata, Mammalia, Primates, Hominidae. The transcript has 4 exons.